RNAcentral lists this ribosomal RNA (296 nucleotides) under uncultured bacterium. RNAcentral's name for it is "partial 16S ribosomal RNA". It matches the Rfam family "Bacterial small subunit ribosomal RNA", at positions 542 to 838 of the family's 1533-position model. The record is from RNAcentral.
UGUCCGGAAUUAUUGGGCGUAAAGAGCAUGUAGGCGGCCUAUUAAGUCGGGCGUGAAAAUGCGGGGCUCAACCCCGUAUGGCGCCCGAUACUGGUGGGCUUGAGUGCAGGAGAGGAAAGGGGAAUUCCCAGUGUAGCGGUGAAAUGCGUAGAUAUUGGGAGGAACACCAGUGGCGAAGGCGCCUUUCUGGACUGUGUCUGACGCUGAGAUGCGAAAGCCAGGGGAGCGAACGGGAUUAGAUACCCCGGUAGUCCUGGCCGUAAACGAUGGGUACUAGGUGUAGGAGGUCUGACCCC